ACUGGGGACAAACAAAAGUAGCGUCGUCUCCACCGAACCAGUUGUCAGUGGCAACAUAUAGGAAUCGUGUACAUUUCUUCGUUUCUUCUUUGCUGUUUUCAGUGAGUGUUUUGUUUUCUCUUUGUCCUUGAUCUCGACGAUGUUGUCGUGCUCAUUACCUUACUGAGACGUCUCUUGUGACUGUAGCCAGUGUCACGGAGGAUUUUAUUGGCGUGACAAGGUAGAUCGCCGAGAUCGAGCGUGAAAAACGCUCUGCAUUAGUAGCUCCUGUAGAAUGUUUUCUGGGAUGGCGUAUCCAUGGUCAACAAAACCAAGGUGCAAGACAGCAUGAGAGAUCGUGUAAACGAUAUGAACUCCAAAAGAUAAUCUGGCUAAAUUUAUUGUAACUAGAGAGUGCAAUCGUGCUUGGGGCCCAUCCCAAUGUCAUCACAUGGCUGUGGUGACUAGUGAAUAUCUGGGAGAAUUUUUCCUCGACUGAUACGGAGUGCAGGUGGAUCGAUUAUGAGAAAUGCGAACAUGUGAAGUUCAAGGCUAGAUGCACUUCACAUUCGGCGUGCGAUCUCAGCGUCUGGGACCUGGUGACGUCUUGGUUGGAUGAUUAUUCAAGCCUGAUACUACUCGACACACCAAUGUACAUGUCAAUGUAAUUUUUUCAGAGUUGCACUAUUUACGUGUUGAUGCUUACUUCGGUGUUAGCGUGUUUCCCCCGGAUUGUUUCUAUCAUCAUGAUCGUGUGCUCUUGGGCUGAGCGAGCACAUGCACAAGUGUGCAGCUGUAACCCUGUGUAUCUUUGGUUACACUUUGUUCUGCAAUGCAUGUACCUUGUAACAUUAUGUGCUUGCACUGCUUUGUCUGGCCUGCGUAUUUCAGGACUAUUUAGUGCAUUAGACCCAGGUUUGUUUGUUUGCCGGAUGAUCUCUUGUUGCGUCGCUCUGUAUUUGUAUUCAUCAAUUUUUUGGGCUUGAGAAUUGAGGUGUUGUGUGGUUCCCAAUAUGAAAACAUCAUGCUGGUGCUCUGUGUUUCGAUUAUCGACUGUCGGAGCAGUCAUGCAUUUAUUAGCAGAACGGUCAAUACUGUAGUCUUUUCA
Molecule: long non-coding RNA, 1087 nt
Organism: Sycon ciliatum
Lineage: Eukaryota; Metazoa; Porifera; Calcarea; Leucosolenida; Sycettidae
Exons: 3
Source: RefSeq, a predicted model, not a curated record